RNAcentral lists this ribosomal RNA (423 nucleotides) under uncultured bacterium. Its description in RNAcentral is "partial 16S ribosomal RNA". It matches the Rfam family "Bacterial small subunit ribosomal RNA", at positions 360 to 775 of the family's 1533-position model. The record is from RNAcentral.
AAUCUUCCACAAUGGACGAAAGUCUGAUGGAGCAACGCCGCGUGAGUGAAGAAGGGUUUCGGCUCGUAAAGCUCUGUUGGUAGUGAAGAAAGAUAGAGGUAGUAACUGGCCUUUAUUUGACGGUAAUUACUUAGAAAGUCACGGCUAACUACGUGCCAGCAGCCGCGGUAAUACGUAGGUGGCAAGCGUUGUCCGGAUUUAUUGGGCGUAAAGCGAGUGCAGGCGGUUCAAUAAGUCUGAUGUGAAAGCCUUCGGCUCAACCGGAGAAUUGCAUCAGAAACUGUUGAACUUGAGUGCAGAAGAGGAGAGUGGAACUCCAUGUGUAGCGGUGGAAUGCGUAGAUAUAUGGAAGAACACCAGUGGCGAAGGCGGCUCUCUGGUCUGCAACUGACGCUGAGGCUCGAAAGCAUGGGUAGCGAACAG